GUCACCGAGGUAUCUUGUUAAAAUGCAGAUACUGAUUCUGCAUGUCUGGAGAAGGACUAAGAUUCUGAAUUUCUAAUAAGCUCCCAGGUGAUGCUGA
RNAcentral lists this microRNA precursor (97 nucleotides) under Felis catus (domestic cat). RNAcentral describes it as "mir-544 microRNA precursor family". It matches the Rfam family "mir-544 microRNA precursor family". Lineage: Eukaryota; Metazoa; Chordata; Mammalia; Carnivora; Felidae. The record is from Rfam by way of RNAcentral. RNAcentral also lists the same sequence under 2 other names.